This is a long non-coding RNA of Bombina bombina (fire-bellied toad), 349 nucleotides long. RefSeq lists it as uncharacterized. The transcript has 3 exons. Lineage: Eukaryota; Metazoa; Chordata; Amphibia; Anura; Bombinatoridae. The record is from RefSeq and is a predicted model, not a curated record.
CUACAAUGUCUUUUUUUUUUUUAGAUCCGUCUGCAGAAAUGCACUCCAUACUCAAGAACUUGCGCAUUGCCAGGAUGUGGUGGUCAAAACAAACGGGAUGUGCUGCAAAUAGACCUCACAACUUGUUUAACAAUCUAAAAAGUACAUGGGAAUCUGUGAAAGUGCCAACUUCAACGCAUCAUGGGAAAGGAUGAUAAUUUAUGGGAAAUUUUGUUAGGGAAAUCAUUAGGUGAACAUCCAAUCAGCGUGUGUGUCAUUUGACAAAUUUGAAGGCCAGCCCCUUUAAAGCCCUUAUUUGAUUUGACUGCUCUAUACAUCACAGCCCAGCCAAAAGAGGAAAUGAAGGGGG